Molecule: RNA transcript, 3416 nt
Organism: Zea mays
Lineage: Eukaryota; Viridiplantae; Streptophyta; Magnoliopsida; Poales; Poaceae
Exons: 12
Source: RefSeq, marked validated
AAAUAUCACCCGCACUUUUUUCCCUUCCUCUCCUUUCAUCCUCCGCCUCUUUUUCCUCCUCCUGCCGCUCGCCGGAGCACCGCCGCGGGCGCUCCCUCCUUCGCCUUGGUUUGGUUCCGACGCCUACGCGGGAUCCGUAGUCUGCGCCGUUCCGGAGUUCUGGAGCCACCUCCGUGCGCUCGGGAGCGCGGCGUUACCGGAGCAGGGGCGGGCGCGGAUCGGAGCGCGCUGGGGACGCCGGUAGCGGCCGCCUCAGGGGAAUGUGGGUCCCCGUUUGAGGAGGCCUCGGGCCGGGAGGCCGCGCCGAGAUGAUACGAUCAAGGAGACCGGUUCUCUUGAGCUGGGGACUGCAAAGGAUACGUGGCUUCAGUCAUUGUGCUCUGGAUUUUUAGAUCAAGGGACCAAUGCCUCCAGGAUAAUGGCGGGGAAGGACGGAGUUUCUCUGAAAUCUGUGUCAUACGGGGCAAGGCUGCGCAGGAGUUGUGAUGCAUCACUGAGAGAGGCAGGGUCCAUGAGAGACCCAUUCUUGAAACACAGAGUAAAGAAAUUUGAUCUAUCUAGCCUAGAUUGGAUUGAUGAGAUUCCAGAUUGCCCUGUAUUUUCUCCAUCAACCCAGGAGUUUGAGGAUCCUCUGGUUUAUCUCAGCAAAAUUGCCCCUGUGGCUGCAAAAUAUGGUAUAUGCAAGAUCAUUUCACCUGUCUCUGCUUCAGUACCUGCGGGCACUGUACUAAUGAAGGAACUAGGUGGGAUUAAGUUUACGACCAGAGUUCAGCCUCUCCGUCUUGCUGAAUGGACCAAGGAUGACAAGUUUGCCUUCUUUAUGAGUGGAAGAAAGUACACAUUUCGGGAGUUCGAGAAGAUGGCAAAUAAAGAAUUUGUACGGAGAUACUCUAGUGCUGCUUGUCUUCCAUCAAGGUAUAUGGAAGAGGAGUUUUGGCAUGAAAUAGCUUUUGGCAAGAUGGAGUCUGUUGAGUAUGCAUGUGAUAUCGAUGGUAGCGCAUUUUCUUCUUCUUCUCAUGACCAACUUGGGAGAAGCAAAUGGAACUUGAAGAGAUUCUCACGGUUGCCGAACUCUACGCUGCGUCUUCUCAGAGCUGCAGUUCCAGGAAUAACAGAUCCAAUGCUGUAUAUUGGGAUGCUCUUUAGUAUGUUUGCCUGGCAUGUGGAAGAUCAUUACCUGUACAGUAUUAACUAUCACCACUGUGGAGCCCCCAAAACAUGGUAUGGUAUUCCAGGAAGUGCUGCUUCUGAUUUUGAGAAAGUGGUACGUGAGCAUGUAUAUGAUCACGAAAUUUUAUCAGGUGAAGGGGAAAGUGCAGCAUUUGAUGUUCUGUUGGGAAAGACUACAAUCUUCCCACCUAAUAUUUUACUGGAUCAUCAUGUUCCAGUCUAUAGAGCCAUACAGAAACCUGGAGAGUUUGUUGUAACGUUUCCCCGAGCUUAUCAUUCUGGUUUCAGCCAUGGUUUCAAUUGUGGUGAGGCAGUAAAUUUUGCUACGGGCGAAUGGUUUCCUCUAGGAGCAGUUGCCAGUCAACAUUAUGCACUUCUUAAGAGGAUACCAGUAUUACCUUAUGAGGAGCUUCUUUGUAAAGAAGCAACAUUUUGUGCUAAUGAGUUUUCCUUGUUUGAACACGGAAAUGUAACAUUAACUGGAGGCACACAUAUACAGAGCUAUAUGAAGGGUCCCUUUGUGCAGUUGAUGCGGUUCCAACACCGUGUUCGUUGGUUGCUUGUGAAAAUGGGUGCCCGUACAUGCUAUAAAGCAGACAUUGAUGCCACAGUUCUCUGUGGGAUAUGCAAACGUGACUGCUAUGUAGCUCACAUUAUGUGUAACUGCAGAGCAGAUGCAAUUUGCCUUUGUCAUGAGGAAGAGAUUAGUAAGUGUUCUUGCAACUGCGACCGUGUUGUUUUUGUGAGGAAAGACAUCUUUGAAUUGGAGGAAAUAUCAAAGAAGUUUGAGGAAAUUGGAAUACUGGAUGAAGUAGGAAAACAAAUGUCUCAAAAUGAUGGCUAUAACAUGCAUCCUUACUUGUCCAAUGGCAUUGACCACAAUGCUAAAUACUUUCCAUACUGCAAGAUCCUAAUUGAUACAUCCCCUGAACUUCGUACCUUUUCAGAGGUAGAUGUUCUUGGAUAUGAUCUGAAUAAGCCAUAUCCUACAUUAUCAACAAUAACUUCUGCACAUGGACCCCAUGAGUAUUCUACACAAAGUGAUGAGUGUACUAGUUCUAAGCAAAGAACAUACUCUAGCUCAUGUCCAGAGAAUGGAACGCUUAGUGUUUAUCCUUUAUGUACAUCUGAUCAAGCAUUCUCAACUGACAAAUUGGCUGCUCAGGAUACUGAUGAUUCUGACUGUGAGGUAUUUAGAGUUAAGAGACGAUCUAGCAUAGUUAUGGAGAAAAGAUGUUCAGAAGAUCUAACAAUAACUUUAACUGAGAAUCAGGCUUUAAGACGGUUAAAGAAAGCCUGUUCAGAUGACAGACAAGAGAACGCAACUGAAUCACAUUGCCUUGACUUCAUUUCUGGAAAUACAGAUAAUUUCAUCAAUCGAAGCAAACAAAAAAUGAAUGUAGAUCAGCUAGAUGCAAAAAAUGUGGAAGAUGAAGUUGCUUUCGGCCAGAAAUCUAUCGGUUGCAGUUACCUGUCUCCAUCUGUAGAUCUUGGGCCGAAACGCUUGAAAAUUCGUGGCCCAUCCUUCCCAAGCACUGUUUCUGAAGUGGAAAUAUCUUAUAGGUUCCAGGAGGACAUUGACUUGGCUAGUCAGCAUACUCAAUGAAGUAUGCUGCUCUUGGUGCUAACUGCUAACAUCAAUCGUAACUUCUGGAAGAUGAAAGCUCUUUUUUCAUUGGAUGGUUCAGAACUGAUUCUAUCUACAGGUCUCCAAUGGAGGCACUGUUAUGGCUGGAUUUUAUGAUUCUAUUGCCAGGUCAUAGGCGAUUUUUCUGAUGAUCCGUAGCUGCACAUCACUUAUUUCCUUUCUUUGUAGGUUUUCCACUGUGAAUAGGAAUUCACUUCCACUGACUGUCAUGUUGCAUAUGCAACAAAGUAGAUGCUUUGUGAUAAUGUUGAAGCGCAUGCAAAUGCUCGAAUCAAUCAUGUUCUAUAGAAAGUGGAUACAACAGAAGGAAUAAAGGAGCAACUUCUUGCUGUUAGAUCCUGGUCUACUGAAAUCUGUCACAUAAGAUUUACUUUCUCUUUUAAGUUCAGGAUAUAAUAUUUGGUUAGACAAUUAUUUUAAUUUGAUCAUAUGUCUGGUUGGUUAGCAAAGUAGGCAAUUUGAUUUGUCCCCUAAGUAGCUUCUAUUUGUAGAAUGAAUUCGUCCAUUAUAAUUCUCCAUAAUGCUUUAGGUAGUCUAUGCAGAAAUUACUUGAUGUUCCUUGUCUCGACGCUUUUACAAAAUUCUGCAAAUUAGUCAA